RNAcentral lists this ribosomal RNA (497 nucleotides) under uncultured bacterium. RNAcentral's name for it is "partial 16S ribosomal RNA". It matches the Rfam family "Bacterial small subunit ribosomal RNA", at positions 28 to 507 of the family's 1533-position model. The record is from RNAcentral.
GAUGAACGCUGGCGGCGUGCCUAAUACAUGCAAGUCGAGCGAACAGACGAGGAGCUUGCUCCUCUGACGUUAGCGGCGGACGGGUGAGUAACACGUGGAUAACCUACCUAUAAGACUGGGAUAACUUCGGGAAACCGGAGCUAAUACCGGAUAAUAUUUUGAACCGCAUGGUUCAAUAGUGAAAGACGGUUUUGCUGUCACUUAUAGAUGGAUCCGCGCGGCAUUAGCUAGUUGGUAAGGUAACGGCUUACCAAGGCAACGAUGCGUAGCCGACCUGAGAGGGUGAUCGGCCACACUGGAACUGAGACACGGUCCAGACUCCUACGGGAGGCAGCAGUAGGGAAUCUUCCGCAAUGGGCGAAAGCCUGACGGAGCAACGCCGCGUGAGUGAUGAAGGUCUUCGGAUCGUAAAACUCUGUUAUUAGGGAAGAACAAAUGUGUAAGUAACUGUGCACGUCUUGACGGUACCUAAUCAGAAAGCCACGGCUAACUACGUG